GCCUCCGUGGUGUAAUGGUCAGCACACUCGGGCUAUUCGAGAGGUCCGGGGUUCGAGUCCUGGCGAGGGCA
Molecule: transfer RNA, 71 nt
Filed under: Stegodyphus mimosarum
Lineage: Eukaryota; Metazoa; Arthropoda; Arachnida; Araneae; Eresidae
Rfam family: tRNA
About the family: Transfer RNA (tRNA) molecules are approximately 80 nucleotides in length. Their secondary structure includes four short double-helical elements and three loops (D, anti-codon, and T loops).
Source: Rfam by way of RNAcentral